Molecule: long non-coding RNA, 2907 nt
Filed under: Sus scrofa (pig)
Lineage: Eukaryota; Metazoa; Chordata; Mammalia; Artiodactyla; Suidae
Description: lncRNA (ENSSSCG00060027207.1)
Source: RNAcentral
AGAGCAGAGCCCGAUGGGCUGUCUCCAUGCUAAAGGGAGCCUCGAGUUGGUCUGCAUUCCAGGGAUGGAACCCAUGACACAACAGUGAACUGAGCUGUUAGAGUGACGUUGGAUCCUUAGCCCUCUGUGCUGCAAGAAAAUGCCACACUUUUAAUUUCUAUGAGGUUGGUAGUGAUAGUCCCUCUUUUGUUUUUUUAUUUUGGUGAUUUGUGUUUUUUUCUCUUUUUCUUGGUCAGUCUAGUUUUGUCAAUUUUGUUAAUCCUAACAUUUCAGUUUCAUCGUUUUGUCUUAUUGUUCUUAUGUUUUUUUCUCUUUCAUUGAUUUCUUUUCUCAUCUUUAUUAUUUACUUACUUUUGAUUGCUUUGGGGUUUAGUUUGCACUUCUUUUUUUGUUUGUUUGUUUUUUGUUGUUUUAGGGCCGAACCCUCGGCAUAUGGAGGUUCCCAGGCUGGGGGUCUAAUCUCACCUGCAGCCGCUGGCCUACACCACAGCCACAGCAACACCAGAUCCAAGCUGAGUCUGCAACCUACACCACAGCUCACAGCAACGCUGAAUCCUUAAUCCACUGAGUGAGGCCAGGAAUUGAACCUGAAACCUUAUGGUUCAUAGUCAGAUUUGUUUCCGCUGCGCCACGCCAGGAGCUCCUGCACUUCUUUUUCUAAUGCUUACAGUGGAAGUUUAGGUUAUUGAUUUGGUAUCUUUUUUUCUAGUAUAAGUUUUUAAAGCUAUAAAUGUACUGCUAAGUACUGCUUUAACUGCAUUCUAUAAAUUGAUUCGUUAUGUGUGGUCAUUCUUUUCAAAAUACUUUAAAAUUUGCCUUGUGAUUUUUUUUUUUUUGACCUAUGAGUUAUUUUAGAAAUGAUUGUUUAAUGUCCAAAUUGUUGGUGAUUUCCCAAAUUUUCUUGUGUUGUUAUUUCUUAAUUUAAUUCCAAUGUGGUUGGAGAAUAUACCUUGUAUGUUUUUAAUCCUUUUCAAUUUAUUGUUGUUUGUUUAAUGGUCUAACAUAUCAUCCAUCUUGACAAAUAUUCUCAGCAUACUUGAAAAGAAUGUGUAUUCCUGCUCUUGUUGGGUAGAGUAUUCUAAUACAUGGCAGAUUAAGUUAUUUGAUAGUGUUGUUCAAGUCUUGUAGAUAGUUGCUGAUUUCAUGCCUAGUUGCUCCGUACAUUAUUGGGAAGUCGAAUAUUAAAAUCUCUAGUUACUAUUGUUUUUUCUUUUUCCUGUACAAACUGCAUGUUCCUUAAUUUUUUCCCCUAGUGCUUUGGAAAGCAUACAUUUGAAUAAUUAAUUAUAUUUUUCUUUUGGCUUUUAAAAAUGCAUUUAACCACUUAAAUUUUUUUAAUUAAAAAAUUUUAAUUAAAGUGUAGUUAACUACAAUAUUAUAUAAGUUAUGAUGUAUGGCAUAAUGACCCAUGCUUUUUAAAGAUUAUACUCCAUUUACAGUUAUUAUAAAAUAUUGGCUAUAUUCCCCAUGUUGUACAGUAUGUCCUUGUAGCUUAUUUUAUACAUAGUAGUUUGUACUUCUUAAUCCCCUAACCCCAUCUUGCCCCUCUCUUCUUCCCUCUCUCCUCUGGUAACCACUAGUUUGUUUUUUUACAUAUGUGAGUCUGUUUCUUUUUUGUUAUAUUCAUUAGUUUGUUGUAUUUUUAAAAUUCUCUAUAUAAGUGAUAUAGCAUGUUUGUCUUGCUCUGUCUGACUUAUUUCACUUAGUAUAAUACCCUCCAAAUUCAUCCAUGUUGUUGCAAUUGGCAAAAUUUCAUUCUUUUUAAUGGCCGAGUAGUAUUCCAUUAUGUGUGUAUGUGUAUAAAACAUUUUAUUUACUCAUUCAUCUACUGAUGGGCAAUUAUGUUACAUCCAUAGCAUGGCACCCGUAAAUAAUGCACUACAAAAAUUGGGGUUCGUGUAUCUUUUCAAAUUGAGUUUUCAGGUUUUUUUUGGAUAUGUAUCAAGGAAUGGAAUUUCUGGGACAUGUCGUAGUCUUAGUUUUCUGAGAAACUUCCUUACUGUUUUCCACAGUGGCUGCACCAAUUUUCAUUCCCUUUGUACUAGGUUUCCCUUUUUCUCCAUGUCCUCACCAGCACUUCCUAUUUGUGUUCUUUUUGAUGACAGCCAUUCUGACAGGUAUGAGGUGAUAUCUCAUUGUGGUUUUAAUUUCCAUUUCUCUGACGAUUAAUGAUGUUGAGUAUCUUUUCAUGUGCCUGUUGGCCAUCUGAAUGUCCUCUUUGGAAAAAUGUCUAUUCAGGUCUUCUGCCCAUUUUUUAACUGGGUGUUUUUUUAUUUUUUUUUAUGUUGAACUAUAUAAGCUGUUUAUAUAUUUUGGAUGUUAACCUCUUAUUGGUCAUAAGAUUUGCAAACAUUUUCUCCUGUUCAGUAAGUUGUCUUUCUUACUAUUGUGGAAUUCUCUAUUUCUCUCUUCUGUUUUUUGUUUAGUGUAUUUUGGGGCUCAGUUGGUAUGUGUUUAUUAUAUCAUUUUGAUGCAUGUGUUUAUUAUAUGUGCUUAUUAUGUGUUUAUUAUAUCAUUUUGAUGAAUUGACCCUUUCAUCAUUACAAGUCUCUGUCUUUAGUAUGUUUUAUUGUCUUAAAAUCUAUUUUAUUUAAUAUUGAUAUAGACACUUGACUUAUAUGAUGCUGUUGGCAUGCUAUAUAUUUUUUCAUUCUUUUGCUUGCAACCUAUUUGUGUUUAUGGAUCCAAAAUAUCUCUUGUAGGAAGUGUUUAAAUGAAUCUGGUUUUUUAAAAAUCUGGUCUGAUAAUGUUUAGGUCAUGCACAUUUAAUCUAGCUAUUGAUAUGCUUGGAUUUCUCUCUGCAAUUUUGUUAUUUUUUUUCUAUAUGUUUCACGUCUUCUUUGGUUGUUGUGCUUCUGGUCUUCCUUUAUUGUCUCCUUUUGUGGUAAAUAAAUUUUUCUCCAAUGU